Molecule: ribosomal RNA, 368 nt
Filed under: uncultured bacterium
Lineage: Bacteria
Description: bacterial SSU rRNA
Rfam family: Bacterial small subunit ribosomal RNA
Source: RNAcentral
GAACCGGCCAAACGUUGUUCGGAAUCACUGGGCUUAAAGGGCGGGUAGGCGGGUGAUCAAGUCUGAGGUGAAAUCCUCCGGCUUAACCGGAGAACUGCCGUGGAUACUGCCCAUCUCGAGGAGGAUAGGGGCAUCUGGAACUAGCGGUGGAGCGGUGAAAUGCGUUGAUAUCGCUAGGAACUCCGGUGGCGAAGGCGAUAUGCUGGAUCCUUUCUGACGCUGAGGCGCGAAAGCCAGGGGAGCGAACGGGAUUAGAUACCCCGGUAGUCCUGGCCCUAACGAUGAUACUGGAUAGCGGGCUUGACAUACGCACGCUGUCGGAGCAAAAGUGUUAAGUUCUCCGCCUGGGGGGUAUGGUCGCAAGGCUG